This 274-nucleotide ribosomal RNA is filed under the name uncultured bacterium. RNAcentral describes it as "partial 16S ribosomal RNA". It matches the Rfam family "Bacterial small subunit ribosomal RNA", at positions 523 to 796 of the family's 1533-position model. The record is from RNAcentral.
AUACGGAGGGUGCAAGCGUUACUCGGAAUCACUGGGCGUAAAGGGCGCGCAGGCGGUUUGGUAAGUCAGAUGUGAAAGCCCAUGGCUCAACCAUGGAAGUGCAUUUGAAACUGUCAGACUUGAGUACUAGAGGGGAAAGUGGAAUUCCCGGUGUAGAGGUGAAAUUCGUAGAUAUCGGGAGGAAUACCGGUGGCGAAGGCGACUUUCUGGCUAGAUACUGACGCUGAGGCGCGAAAGCGUGGGGAGCAAACAGGAUUAGAAACCCUAGUAGUCC